This 468-nucleotide ribosomal RNA is filed under the name uncultured bacterium. Its description in RNAcentral is "partial 16S ribosomal RNA". It matches the Rfam family "Bacterial small subunit ribosomal RNA", at positions 28 to 507 of the family's 1533-position model. The record is from RNAcentral.
GACGAACGCUGGCGGCGUGCUUAACACAUGCAAGUCGAACGGAAAGGCCCUGCUUUUGUGGGGUGCUCGAGUGGCGAACGGGUGAGUAACACGUGAGUAACCUGCCCUUGACUUUGGGAUAACUUCAGGAAACUGGGGCUAAUACCGGAUAGGAGCUCCUGCUGCAUGGUGGGGGUUGGAAAGUUUCGGCGGUUGGGGAUGGACUCGCGGCUUAUCAGCUUGUUGGUGGGGUAGUGGCUUACCAAGGCUUUGACGGGUAGCCGGCCUGAGAGGGUGACCGGCCACAUUGGGACUGAGAUACGGCCCAGACUCCUACGGGAGGCAGCAGUGGGGAAUAUUGCACAAUGGGCGGAAGUCUGAUGCAGCAACGCCGCAUGCGGGAUGACGGCCUUCGGGUUGUAAACCGCUUUCGCCUGUGACGAAGCGUGAGUGACGGUAAUGGGUAAAGAAGCACCGGCUAACUACGUG